AGUUGAAACCUGCACAGUUGUGGUUUGUUUUAGUCAUCUUUGAACAAGUGCAGAUGAACUGAGUUGAGUGUUUGAGGCAGGACAAGUCCAGGACUGCCACCAUACAGGGCUCAUACCCCAGGGAGAUGACACUACUAAAGACAUUGAGAUUCAUCAUUCUUCUUUUGUCUGCACACGUCUUUUGGGAGAAUGAGAGCUACACUCCACUCACAGAUUUGGUUUUGCAAGAUAUUUUCCAGGAUGUGACCGACAGACAACUAUCUCAUAAACAUGUCAGAGAGAAAAGAAAGGAAAGAUUUCCCACAGUAACUGUGGUCAUUUUACUGGACAUUCCAAAUGACCCAGAGCCAACAGAGUUCACUAAUCUACUGAGGAAUGCUGUGGGAGAUGUCAUUUUGCCAUUCGACAUCACAGAUGAUUUCAUGCUGACAAGCAUAAAUCUGACCACAGCCUGCAUACCAAAUUCUACUGGAGGACAGCAGUGUCAUUGUGAAGAUGAGUUGUUAUGGUCAGAGGAGAUUUGUGACACUUAUGGUGCAUGUGGCAAUGCGAGCACAGAAAACUGCAACUGCAUUAAUGGAAUUCCAAUUGGACAUGUCUGUGAACCAAGUAUCAUCUUACAGCACCCAAUAGAAGUGAACAUUGUAAUCACAGUGGACACUCCAACUAUUACCGAGUCAUCAGAGUUAAUUAAUCUACUAAGAGACGCUGUGGAUAAUUUAUCCUUACCAUUAAAUAUAACAGAUGAAAUAGCACUCCAAAGUUGGAAUUUGACCACAGCCUGCCCUCUAAACGCUACUGGAGGACCUGAGUGCCAGUGCGAAGAGUCCUUUGGUUGGUCGUGUGACACCUGUUUGACGUAUGGUGGAUGCAGCAAUGCCAGUACAUUACCCUGUGACUGCAGAUAUGGAGUGCCUCCACUUGGAGAGUCCUGUAAACCAAUCUCAAGUAUCGCCCCAUGUCCACCAUCCAUAGAAGUGGACAUUGUUCUUAUUGUUGACACUCCAACCAACGCUGAGCCAUCAGAGAUCUGGAAUCAACUGAGGGAUGCUCUAGAGAAUAUAUCCUUCCCAUUAGCGAUAGCAGAAGAGUUAGCACUCCAAAGUUGGAAUUUGACCACAGCCUGCCCUCUAAACGCUACUGGAGGACCUGAGUGCCAGUGCGAAGAGUCCUUUGGUUGGUCGUGUGACACCUGUUUGACGUAUGGUGGAUGCAGCAAUGCCAGUACAUUACCCUGUGACUGCAGAUAUGGAGUGCCUCCACUUGGAGAGUCCUGUAAACCAAUCUCAAGUAUCGCCCCAUGUCCACCAUCCAUAGAAGUGGACAUUGUUCUUAUUGUUGACACUCCAACCAACGCUGAGCCAUCAGAGAUCUGGAAUCAACUGAGGGAUGCUCUAGAGAAUAUAUCCUUCCCAUUAGCGAUAGCAGAAGAGUUAGCACUCCAAAGUUGGAAUUUGACCACAGCCUGCCCUCUAAACGCUACUGGAGGACCUGAGUGCCAGUGCGAAGAGUCCUUUGGUUGGUCGUGUGACACCUGUUUGACGUAUGGUGGAUGCAGCAAUGCCAGUACAUUACCCUGUGACUGCAGAUAUGGAGUGCCUCCACUUGGAGAGUCCUGUAAACCAAUCUCAAGUAUCGCCCCAUGUCCACCAUCCAUAGAAGUGGACAUUGUUCUUAUUGUUGACACUCCAACCAACGCUGAGCCAUCAGAGAUCUGGAAUCAACUGAGGGAUGCUCUAGAGAAUAUAUCCUUCCCAUUAGCGAUAGCAGAAGAGUUAGCACUCCAAAGUUGGAAUUUGACCACAGCCUGCCCUCUAAACGCUACUGGAGGACCUGAGUGCCAGUGCGAAGAGUCCUUUGGUUGGUCGUGUGACACCUGUUUGACGUAUGGUGGAUGCAGCAAUGCCAGUACAUUACCCUGUGACUGCAGAUAUGGAGUGCCUCCACUUGGAGAGUCCUGUAAACCAAUCUCAAGUAUCGCCCCAUGUCCACCAUCCAUAGAAGUGGACAUUGUUCUUAUUGUUGACACUCCAACCAACGCUGAGCCAUCAGAGAUCUGGAAUCAACUGAGGGAUGCUCUAGAGAAUAUAUCCUUCCCAUUAGCGAUAGCAGAAGAGUUAGCACUCCAAAGUUGGAAUUUGACCACAGCCUGCCCUCUAAACGCUACUGGAGGACCUGAGUGCCAGUGCGAAGAGUCCUUUGGUUGGUCGUGUGACACCUGUUUGACGUAUGGUGGAUGCAGCAAUGCCAGUACAUUACCCUGUGACUGCAGAUAUGGAGUGCCUCCACUUGGAGAGUCCUGUAAACCAAUCUCAAGUAUCGCCCCAUGUCCACCAUCCAUAGAAGUGGACAUUGUUCUUAUUGUUGACACUCCAACCAACGCUGAGCCAUCAGAGAUCUGGAAUCAACUGAGGGAUGCUCUAGAGAAUAUAUCCUUCCCAUUAGCGAUAGCAGAAGAGUUAGCACUCCAAAGUUGGAAUUUGACCACAGCCUGCCCUCUAAACGCUACUGGAGGACCUGAGUGCCAGUGCGAAGAGUCCUUUGGUUGGUCGUGUGACACCUGUUUGACGUAUGGUGGAUGCAGCAAUGCCAGUACAUUACCCUGUGACUGCAGAUAUGGAGUGCCUCCACUUGGAGAGUCCUGUAAACCAAUCUCAAGUAUCGCCCCAUGUCCACCAUCCAUAGAAGUGGACAUUGUUCUUAUUGUUGACACUCCAACCAACGCUGAGCCAUCAGAGAUCUGGAAUCAACUGAGGGAUGCUCUAGAGAAUAUAUCCUUCCCAUUAGCGAUAGCAGAAGAGUUAGCACUCCAAAGUUGGAAUUUGACCACAGCCUGCCCUCUAAACGCUACUGGAGGACCUGAGUGCCAGUGCGAAGAGUCCUUUGGUUGGUCGUGUGACACCUGUUUGACGUAUGGUGGAUGCAGCAAUGCCAGUACAUUACCCUGUGACUGCAGAUAUGGAGUGCCUCCACUUGGAGAGUCCUGUAAACCAAUCUCAAGUAUCGCCCCAUGUCCACCAUCCAUAGAAGUGGACAUUGUUCUUAUUGUUGACACUCCAACCAACGCUGAGCCAUCAGAGAUCUGGAAUCAACUGAGGGAUGCUCUAGAGAAUAUAUCCUUCCCAUUAGCGAUAGCAGAAGAGUUAGCACUCCAAAGUUGGAAUUUGACCACAGCCUGCCCUCUAAACGCUACUGGAGGACCUGAGUGCCAGUGCGAAGAGUCCUUUGGUUGGUCGUGUGACACCUGUUUGACGUAUGGUGGAUGCAGCAAUGCCAGUACAUUACCCUGUGACUGCAGAUAUGGAGUGCCUCCACUUGGAGAGUCCUGUAAACCAAUCUCAAGUAUCGCCCCAUGUCCACCAUCCAUAGAAGUGGACAUUGUUCUUAUUGUUGACACUCCAACCAACGCUGAGCCAUCAGAGAUCUGGAAUCAACUGAGGGAUGCUCUAGAGAAUAUAUCCUUCCCAUUAGCGAUAGCAGAAGAGUUAGCACUCCAAAGUUGGAAUUUGACCACAGCCUGCCCUCUAAACGCUACUGGAGGACCUGAGUGCCAGUGCGAAGAGUCCUUUGGUUGGUCGUGUGACACCUGUUUGACGUAUGGUGGAUGCAGCAAUGCCAGUACAUUACCCUGUGACUGCAGAUAUGGAGUGCCUCCACUUGGAGAGUCCUGUAAACCAAUCUCAAGUAUCGCCCCAUGUCCACCAUCCAUAGAAGUGGACAUUGUUCUUAUUGUUGACACUCCAACCAACGCUGAGCCAUCAGAGAUCUGGAAUCAACUGAGGGAUGCUCUAGAGAAUAUAUCCUUCCCAUUAGCGAUAGCAGAAGAGUUAGCACUCCAAAGUUGGAAUUUGACCACAGCCUGCCCUCUAAACGCUACUGGAGGACCUGAGUGCCAGUGCGAAGAGUCCUUUGGUUGGUCGUGUGACACCUGUUUGACGUAUGGUGGAUGCAGCAAUGCCAGUACAUUACCCUGUGACUGCAGAUAUGGAGUGCCUCCACUUGGAGAGUCCUGUAAACCAAUCUCAAGUAUCGCCCCAUGUCCACCAUCCAUAGAAGUGGACAUUGUUCUUAUUGUUGACACUCCAACCAACGCUGAGCCAUCAGAGAUCUGGAAUCAACUGAGGGAUGCUCUAGAGAAUAUAUCCUUCCCAUUAGCGAUAGCAGAAGAGUUAGCACUCCAAAGUUGGAAUUUGACCACAGCCUGCCCUCUAAACGCUACUGGAGGACCUGAGUGCCAGUGCGAAGAGUCCUUUGGUUGGUCGUGUGACACCUGUUUGACGUAUGGUGGAUGCAGCAAUGCCAGUACAUUACCCUGUGACUGCAGAUAUGGAGUGCCUCCACUUGGAGAGUCCUGUAAACCAAUCUCAAGUAUCGCCCCAUGUCCACCAUCCAUAGAAGUGGACAUUGUUCUUAUUGUUGACACUCCAACCAACGCUGAGCCAUCAGAGAUCUGGAAUCAACUGAGGGAUGCUCUAGAGAAUAUAUCCUUCCCAUUAGCGAUAGCAGAAGAGUUAGCACUCCAAAGUUGGAAUUUGACCACAGCCUGCCCUCUAAACGCUACUGGAGGACCUGAGUGCCAGUGCGAAGAGUCCUUUGGUUGGUCGUGUGACACCUGUUUGACGUAUGGUGGAUGCAGCAAUGCCAGUACAUUACCCUGUGACUGCAGAUAUGGAGUGCCUCCACUUGGAGAGUCCUGUAAACCAAUCUCAAGUAUCGCCCCAUGUCCACCAUCCAUAGAAGUGGACAUUGUUCUUAUUGUUGACACUCCAACCAACGCUGAGCCAUCAGAGAUCUGGAAUCAACUGAGGGAUGCUCUAGAGAAUAUAUCCUUCCCAUUAGCGAUAGCAGAAGAGUUAGCACUCCAAAGUUGGAAUUUGACCACAGCCUGCCCUCUAAACGCUACUGGAGGACCUGAGUGCCAGUGCGAAGAGUCCUUUGGUUGGUCGUGUGACACCUGUUUGACGUAUGGUGGAUGCAGCAAUGCCAGUACAUUACCCUGUGACUGCAGAUAUGGAGUGCCUCCACUUGGAGAGUCCUGUAAACCAAUCUCAAGUAUCGCCCCAUGUCCACCAUCCAUAGAAGUGGACAUUGUUCUUAUUGUUGACACUCCAACCAACGCUGAGCCAUCAGAGAUCUGGAAUCAACUGAGGGAUGCUCUAGAGAAUAUAUCCUUCCCAUUAGCGAUAGCAGAAGAGUUAGCACUCCAAAGUUGGAAUUUGACCACAGCCUGCCCUCUAAACGCUACUGGAGGACCUGAGUGCCAGUGCGAAGAGUCCUUUGGUUGGUCGUGUGACACCUGUUUGACGUAUGGUGGAUGCAGCAAUGCCAGUACAUUACCCUGUGACUGCAGAUAUGGAGUGCCUCCACUUGGAGAGUCCUGUAAACCAAUCUCAAGUAUCGCCCCAUGUCCACCAUCCAUAGAAGUGGACAUUGUUCUUAUUGUUGACACUCCAACCAACGCUGAGCCAUCAGAGAUCUGGAAUCAACUGAGGGAUGCUCUAGAGAAUAUAUCCUUCCCAUUAGCGAUAGCAGAAGAGUUAGCACUCCAAAGUUGGAAUUUGACCACAGCCUGCCCUCUAAACGCUACUGGAGGACCUGAGUGCCAGUGCGAAGAGUCCUUUGGUUGGUCGUGUGACACCUGUUUGACGUAUGGUGGAUGCAGCAAUGCCAGUACAUUACCCUGUGACUGCAGAUAUGGAGUGCCUCCACUUGGAGAGUCCUGUAAACCAAUCUCAAGUAUCGCCCCAUGUCCACCAUCCAUAGAAGUGGACAUUGUUCUUAUUGUUGACACUCCAACCAACGCUGAGCCAUCAGAGAUCUGGAAUCAACUGAGGGAUGCUCUAGAGAAUAUAUCCUUCCCAUUAGCGAUAGCAGAAGAGUUAGCACUCCAAAGUUGGAAUUUGACCACAGCCUGCCCUCUAAACGCUACUGGAGGACCUGAGUGCCAGUGCGAAGAGUCCUUUGGUUGGUCGUGUGACACCUGUUUGACGUAUGGUGGAUGCAGCAAUGCCAGUACAUUACCCUGUGACUGCAGAUAUGGAGUGCCUCCACUUGGAGAGUCCUGUAAACCAAUCUCAAGUAUCGCCCCAUGUCCACCAUCCAUAGAAGUGGACAUUGUUCUUAUUGUUGACACUCCAACCAACGCUGAGCCAUCAGAGAUCUGGAAUCAACUGAGGGAUGCUCUAGAGAAUAUAUCCUUCCCAUUAGCGAUAGCAGAAGAGUUAGCACUCCAAAGUUGGAAUUUGACCACAGCCUGCCCUCUAAACGCUACUGGAGGACCUGAGUGCCAGUGCGAAGAGUCCUUUGGUUGGUCGUGUGACACCUGUUUGACGUAUGGUGGAUGCAGCAAUGCCAGUACAUUACCCUGUGACUGCAGAUAUGGAGUGCCUCCACUUGGAGAGUCCUGUAAACCAAUCUCAAGUAUCGCCCCAUGUCCACCAUCCAUAGAAGUGGACAUUGUUCUUAUUGUUGACACUCCAACCAACGCUGAGCCAUCAGAGAUCUGGAAUCAACUGAGGGAUGCUCUAGAGAAUAUAUCCUUCCCAUUAGCGAUAGCAGAAGAGUUAGCACUCCAAAGUUGGAAUUUGACCACAGCCUGCCCUCUAAACGCUACUGGAGGACCUGAGUGCCAGUGCGAAGAGUCCUUUGGUUGGUCGUGUGACACCUGUUUGACGUAUGGUGGAUGCAGCAAUGCCAGUACAUUACCCUGUGACUGCAGAUAUGGAGUGCCUCCACUUGGAGAGUCCUGUAAACCAAUCUCAAGUAUCGCCCCAUGUCCACCAUCCAUAGAAGUGGACAUUGUUCUUAUUGUUGACACUCCAACCAACGCUGAGCCAUCAGAGAUCUGGAAUCAACUGAGGGAUGCUCUAGAGAAUAUAUCCUUCCCAUUAGCGAUAGCAGAAGAGUUAGCACUCCAAAGUUGGAAUUUGACCACAGCCUGCCCUCUAAACGCUACUGGAGGACCUGAGUGCCAGUGCGAAGAGUCCUUUGGUUGGUCGUGUGACACCUGUUUGACGUAUGGUGGAUGCAGCAAUGCCAGUACAUUACCCUGUGACUGCAGAUAUGGAGUGCCUCCACUUGGAGAGUCCUGUAAACCAAUCUCAAGUAUCGCCCCAUGUCCACCAUCCAUAGAAGUGGACAUUGUUCUUAUUGUUGACACUCCAACCAACGCUGAGCCAUCAGAGAUCUGGAAUCAACUGAGGGAUGCUCUAGAGAAUAUAUCCUUCCCAUUAGCGAUAGCAGAAGAGUUAGCACUCCAAAGUUGGAAUUUGACCACAGCCUGCCCUCUAAACGCUACUGGAGGACCUGAGUGCCAGUGCGAAGAGUCCUUUGGUUGGUCGUGUGACACCUGUUUGACGUAUGGUGGAUGCAGCAAUGCCAGUACAUUACCCUGUGACUGCAGAUAUGGAGUGCCUCCACUUGGAGAGUCCUGUAAACCAAUCUCAAGUAUCGCCCCAUGUCCACCAUCCAUAGAAGUGGACAUUGUUCUUAUUGUUGACACUCCAACCAACGCUGAGCCAUCAGAGAUCUGGAAUCAACUGAGGGAUGCUCUAGAGAAUAUAUCCUUCCCAUUAGCGAUAGCAGAAGAGUUAGCACUCCAAAGUUGGAAUUUGACCACAGCCUGCCCUCUAAACGCUACUGGAGGACCUGAGUGCCAGUGCGAAGAGUCCUUUGGUUGGUCGUGUGACACCUGUUUGACGUAUGGUGGAUGCAGCAAUGCCAGUACAUUACCCUGUGACUGCAGAUAUGGAGUGCCUCCACUUGGAGAGUCCUGUAAACCAAUCUCAAGUAUCGCCCCAUGUCCACCAUCCAUAGAAGUGGACAUUGUUCUUAUUGUUGACACUCCAACCAACGCUGAGCCAUCAGAGAUCUGGAAUCAACUGAGGGAUGCUCUAGAGAAUAUAUCCUUCCCAUUAGCGAUAGCAGAAGAGUUAGCACUCCAAAGUUGGAAUUUGACCACAGCCUGCCCUCUAAACGCUACUGGAGGACCUGAGUGCCAGUGCGAAGAGUCCUUUGGUUGGUCGUGUGACACCUGUUUGACGUAUGGUGGAUGCAGCAAUGCCAGUACAUUACCCUGUGACUGCAGAUAUGGAGUGCCUCCACUUGGAGAGUCCUGUAAACCAAUCUCAAGUAUCGCCCCAUGUCCACCAUCCAUAGAAGUGGACAUUGUUCUUAUUGUUGACACUCCAACCAACGCUGAGCCAUCAGAGAUCUGGAAUCAACUGAGGGAUGCUCUAGAGAAUAUAUCCUUCCCAUUAGCGAUAGCAGAAGAGUUAGCACUCCAAAGUUGGAAUUUGACCACAGCCUGCCCUCUAAACGCUACUGGAGGACCUGAGUGCCAGUGCGAAGAGUCCUUUGGUUGGUCGUGUGACACCUGUUUGACGUAUGGUGGAUGCAGCAAUGCCAGUACAUUACCCUGUGACUGCAGAUAUGGAGUGCCUCCACUUGGAGAGUCCUGUAAACCAAUCUCAAGUAUCGCCCCAUGUCCACCAUCCAUAGAAGUGGACAUUGUUCUUAUUGUUGACACUCCAACCAACGCUGAGCCAUCAGAGAUCUGGAAUCAACUGAGGGAUGCUCUAGAGAAUAUAUCCUUCCCAUUAGCGAUAGCAGAAGAGUUAGCACUCCAAAGUUGGAAUUUGACCACAGCCUGCCCUCUAAACGCUACUGGAGGACCUGAGUGCCAGUGCGAAGAGUCCUUUGGUUGGUCGUGUGACACCUGUUUGACGUAUGGUGGAUGCAGCAAUGCCAGUACAUUACCCUGUGACUGCAGAUAUGGAGUGCCUCCACUUGGAGAGUCCUGUAAACCAAUCUCAAGUAUCGCCCCAUGUCCACCAUCCAUAGAAGUGGACAUUGUUCUUAUUGUUGACACUCCAACCAACGCUGAGCCAUCAGAGAUCUGGAAUCAACUGAGGGAUGCUCUAGAGAAUAUAUCCUUCCCAUUAGCGAUAGCAGAAGAGUUAGCACUCCAAAGUUGGAAUUUGACCACAGCCUGCCCUCUAAACGCUACUGGAGGACCUGAGUGCCAGUGCGAAGAGUCCUUUGGUUGGUCGUGUGACACCUGUUUGACGUAUGGUGGAUGCAGCAAUGCCAGUACAUUACCCUGUGACUGCAGAUAUGGAGUGCCUCCACUUGGAGAGUCCUGUAAACCAAUCUCAAGUAUCGCCCCAUGUCCACCAUCCAUAGAAGUGGACAUUGUUCUUAUUGUUGACACUCCAACCAACGCUGAGCCAUCAGAGAUCUGGAAUCAACUGAGGGAUGCUCUAGAGAAUAUAUCCUUCCCAUUAGCGAUAGCAGAAGAGUUAGCACUCCAAAGUUGGAAUUUGACCACAGCCUGCCCUCUAAACGCUACUGGAGGACCUGAGUGCCAGUGCGAAGAGUCCUUUGGUUGGUCGUGUGACACCUGUUUGACGUAUGGUGGAUGCAGCAAUGCCAGUACAUUACCCUGUGACUGCAGAUAUGGAGUGCCUCCACUUGGAGAGUCCUGUAAACCAAUCUCAAGUAUCGCCCCAUGUCCACCAUCCAUAGAAGUGGACAUUGUUCUUAUUGUUGACACUCCAACCAACGCUGAGCCAUCAGAGAUCUGGAAUCAACUGAGGGAUGCUCUAGAGAAUAUAUCCUUCCCAUUAGCGAUAGCAGAAGAGUUAGCACUCCAAAGUUGGAAUUUGACCACAGCCUGCCCUCUAAACGCUACUGGAGGACCUGAGUGCCAGUGCGAAGAGUCCUUUGGUUGGUCGUGUGACACCUGUUUGACGUAUGGUGGAUGCAGCAAUGCCAGUACAUUACCCUGUGACUGCAGAUAUGGAGUGCCUCCACUUGGAGAGUCCUGUAAACCAAUCUCAAGUAUCGCCCCAUGUCCACCAUCCAUAGAAGUGGACAUUGUUCUUAUUGUUGACACUCCAACCAACGCUGAGCCAUCAGAGAUCUGGAAUCAACUGAGGGAUGCUCUAGAGAAUAUAUCCUUCCCAUUAGCGAUAGCAGAAGAGUUAGCACUCCAAAGUUGGAAUUUGACCACAGCCUGCCCUCUAAACGCUACUGGAGGACCUGAGUGCCAGUGCGAAGAGUCCUUUGGUUGGUCGUGUGACACCUGUUUGACGUAUGGUGGAUGCAGCAAUGCCAGUACAUUACCCUGUGACUGCAGAUAUGGAGUGCCUCCACUUGGAGAGUCCUGUAAACCAAUCUCAAGUAUCGCCCCAUGUCCACCAUCCAUAGAAGUGGACAUUGUUCUUAUUGUUGACACUCCAACCAACGCUGAGCCAUCAGAGAUCUGGAAUCAACUGAGGGAUGCUCUAGAGAAUAUAUCCUUCCCAUUAGCGAUAGCAGAAGAGUUAGCACUCCAAAGUUGGAAUUUGACCACAGCCUGCCCUCUAAACGCUACUGGAGGACCUGAGUGCCAGUGCGAAGAGUCCUUUGGUUGGUCGUGUGACACCUGUUUGACGUAUGGUGGAUGCAGCAAUGCCAGUACAUUACCCUGUGACUGCAGAUAUGGAGUGCCUCCACUUGGAGAGUCCUGUAAACCAAUCUCAAGUAUCGCCCCAUGUCCACCAUCCAUAGAAGUGGACAUUGUUCUUAUUGUUGACACUCCAACCAACGCUGAGCCAUCAGAGAUCUGGAAUCAACUGAGGGAUGCUCUAGAGAAUAUAUCCUUCCCAUUAGCGAUAGCAGAAGAGUUAGCACUCCAAAGUUGGAAUUUGACCACAGCCUGCCCUCUAAACGCUACUGGAGGACCUGAGUGCCAGUGCGAAGAGUCCUUUGGUUGGUCGUGUGACACCUGUUUGACGUAUGGUGGAUGCAGCAAUGCCAGUACAUUACCCUGUGACUGCAGAUAUGGAGUGCCUCCACUUGGAGAGUCCUGUAAACCAAUCUCAAGUAUCGCCCCAUGUCCACCAUCCAUAGAAGUGGACAUUGUUCUUAUUGUUGACACUCCAACCAACGCUGAGCCAUCAGAGAUCUGGAAUCAACUGAGGGAUGCUCUAGAGAAUAUAUCCUUCCCAUUAGCGAUAGCAGAAGAGUUAGCACUCCAAAGUUGGAAUUUGACCACAGCCUGCCCUCUAAACGCUACUGGAGGACCUGAGUGCCAGUGCGAAGAGUCCUUUGGUUGGUCGUGUGACACCUGUUUGACGUAUGGUGGAUGCAGCAAUGCCAGUACAUUACCCUGUGACUGCAGAUAUGGAGUGCCUCCACUUGGAGAGUCCUGUAAACCAAUCUCAAGUAUCGCCCCAUGUCCACCAUCCAUAGAAGUGGACAUUGUUCUUAUUGUUGACACUCCAACCAACGCUGAGCCAUCAGAGAUCUGGAAUCAACUGAGGGAUGCUCUAGAGAAUAUAUCCUUCCCAUUAGCGAUAGCAGAAGAGUUAGCACUCCAAAGUUGGAAUUUGACCACAGCCUGCCCUCUAAACGCUACUGGAGGACCUGAGUGCCAGUGCGAAGAGUCCUUUGGUUGGUCGUGUGACACCUGUUUGACGUAUGGUGGAUGCAGCAAUGCCAGUACAUUACCCUGUGACUGCAGAUAUGGAGUGCCUCCACUUGGAGAGUCCUGUAAACCAAUCUCAAGUAUCGCCCCAUGUCCACCAUCCAUAGAAGUGGACAUUGUUCUUAUUGUUGACACUCCAACCAACGCUGAGCCAUCAGAGAUCUGGAAUCAACUGAGGGAUGCUCUAGAGAAUAUAUCCUUCCCAUUAGCGAUAGCAGAAGAGUUAGCACUCCAAAGUUGGAAUUUGACCACAGCCUGCCCUCUAAACGCUACUGGAGGACCUGAGUGCCAGUGCGAAGAGUCCUUUGGUUGGUCGUGUGACACCUGUUUGACGUAUGGUGGAUGCAGCAAUGCCAGUACAUUACCCUGUGACUGCAGAUAUGGAGUGCCUCCACUUGGAGAGUCCUGUAAACCAAUCUCAAGUAUCGCCCCAUGUCCACCAUCCAUAGAAGUGGACAUUGUUCUUAUUGUUGACACUCCAACCAACGCUGAGCCAUCAGAGAUCUGGAAUCAACUGAGGGAUGCUCUAGAGAAUAUAUCCUUCCCAUUAGCGAUAGCAGAAGAGUUAGCACUCCAAAGUUGGAAUUUGACCACAGCCUGCCCUCUAAACGCUACUGGAGGACCUGAGUGCCAGUGCGAAGAGUCCUUUGGUUGGUCGUGUGACACCUGUUUGACGUAUGGUGGAUGCAGCAAUGCCAGUACAUUACCCUGUGACUGCAGAUAUGGAGUGCCUCCACUUGGAGAGUCCUGUAAACCAAUCUCAAGUAUCGCCCCAUGUCCACCAUCCAUAGAAGUGGACAUUGUUCUUAUUGUUGACACUCCAACCAACGCUGAGCCAUCAGAGAUCUGGAAUCAACUGAGGGAUGCUCUAGAGAAUAUAUCCUUCCCAUUAGCGAUAGCAGAAGAGUUAGCACUCCAAAGUUGGAAUUUGACCACAGCCUGCCCUCUAAACGCUACUGGAGGACCUGAGUGCCAGUGCGAAGAGUCCUUUGGUUGGUCGUGUGACACCUGUUUGACGUAUGGUGGAUGCAGCAAUGCCAGUACAUUACCCUGUGACUGCAGAUAUGGAGUGCCUCCACUUGGAGAGUCCUGUAAACCAAUCUCAAGUAUCGCCCCAUGUCCACCAUCCAUAGAAGUGGACAUUGUUCUUAUUGUUGACACUCCAACCAACGCUGAGCCAUCAGAGAUCUGGAAUCAACUGAGGGAUGCUCUAGAGAAUAUAUCCUUCCCAUUAGCGAUAGCAGAAGAGUUAGCACUCCAAAGUUGGAAUUUGACCACAGCCUGCCCUCUAAACGCUACUGGAGGACCUGAGUGCCAGUGCGAAGAGUCCUUUGGUUGGUCGUGUGACACCUGUUUGACGUAUGGUGGAUGCAGCAAUGCCAGUACAUUACCCUGUGACUGCAGAUAUGGAGUGCCUCCACUUGGAGAGUCCUGUAAACCAAUCUCAAGUAUCGCCCCAUGUCCACCAUCCAUAGAAGUGGACAUUGUUCUUAUUGUUGACACUCCAACCAACGCUGAGCCAUCAGAGAUCUGGAAUCAACUGAGGGAUGCUCUAGAGAAUAUAUCCUUCCCAUUAGCGAUAGCAGAAGAGUUAGCACUCCAAAGUUGGAAUUUGACCACAGCCUGCCCUCUAAACGCUACUGGAGGACCUGAGUGCCAGUGCGAAGAGUCCUUUGGUUGGUCGUGUGACACCUGUUUGACGUAUGGUGGAUGCAGCAAUGCCAGUACAUUACCCUGUGACUGCAGAUAUGGAGUGCCUCCACUUGGAGAGUCCUGUAAACCAAUCUCAAGUAUCGCCCCAUGUCCACCAUCCAUAGAAGUGGACAUUGUUCUUAUUGUUGACACUCCAACCAACGCUGAGCCAUCAGAGAUCUGGAAUCAACUGAGGGAUGCUCUAGAGAAUAUAUCCUUCCCAUUAGCGAUAGCAGAAGAGUUAGCACUCCAAAGUUGGAAUUUGACCACAGCCUGCCCUCUAAACGCUACUGGAGGACCUGAGUGCCAGUGCGAAGAGUCCUUUGGUUGGUCGUGUGACACCUGUUUGACGUAUGGUGGAUGCAGCAAUGCCAGUACAUUACCCUGUGACUGCAGAUAUGGAGUGCCUCCACUUGGAGAGUCCUGUAAACCAAUCUCAAGUAUCGCCCCAUGUCCACCAUCCAUAGAAGUGGACAUUGUUCUUAUUGUUGACACUCCAACCAACGCUGAGCCAUCAGAGAUCUGGAAUCAACUGAGGGAUGCUCUAGAGAAUAUAUCCUUCCCAUUAGCGAUAGCAGAAGAGUUAGCACUCCAAAGUUGGAAUUUGACCACAGCCUGCCCUCUAAACGCUACUGGAGGACCUGAGUGCCAGUGCGAAGAGUCCUUUGGUUGGUCGUGUGACACCUGUUUGACGUAUGGUGGAUGCAGCAAUGCCAGUACAUUACCCUGUGACUGCAGAUAUGGAGUGCCUCCACUUGGAGAGUCCUGUAAACCAAUCUCAAGUAUCGCCCCAUGUCCACCAUCCAUAGAAGUGGACAUUGUUCUUAUUGUUGACACUCCAACCAACGCUGAGCCAUCAGAGAUCUGGAAUCAACUGAGGGUUGCUCUAGAGAAUAUAUCCUUCCCAUUAGCGAUAGCAGAAGAGUUAGCACUCCAAAGUUGGAAUUUGACCACAGCCUGCCCUCUAAACGCUACUGGAGGACCUGAGUGCCAGUGCGAAGAGUCCUUUGGUUGGUCGUGUGACACCUGUUUGACGUAUGGUGGAUGCAGCAAUGCCAGUACAUUACCCUGUGACUGCAGAUAUGGAGUGCCUCCACUUGGAGAGUCCUGUAAACCAAUCUCAAGUAUCGCCCCAUGUCCACCAUCCAUAGAAGUGGACAUUGUUCUUAUUGUUGACACUCCAACCAACGCUGAGCCAUCAGAGAUCUGGAAUCAACUGAGGGAUGCUCUAGAGAAUAUAUCCUUCCCAUUAGCGAUAGCAGAAGAGUUAGCACUCCAAAGUUGGAAUUUGACCACAGCCUGCCCUCUAAACGCUACUGGAGGACCUGAGUGCCAGUGCGAAGAGUCCUUUGGUUGGUCGUGUGACACCUGUUUGACGUAUGGUGGAUGCAGCAAUGCCAGUACAUUACCCUGUGACUGCAGAUAUGGAGUGCCUCCACUUGGAGAGUCCUGUAAACCAAUCUCAAGUAUCGCCCCAUGUCCACCAUCCAUAGAAGUGGACAUUGUUCUUUUUGUUGACACUCCAACCAACGCUGAGCCAUCAGAGAUCAGGAAUCAACUGAGGAAUGCUCUAGAGAAUGUAUCCUUCCCAUUAGCGAUAGCAGAAGAGUUAGCACUCCAAAGUUGGAAUUUGACAACAGCCUGCUACACUGACUUGAAUCAACAACAGCAGUGUCAGUGUGAAAAUGAUUAUUGGUGGUCUUGUGAGAUCUGCGAAGAAUUUGGUGCCUGUAGCCAUGCCAGUAUGCAAAAUUGUGACUGUAUCAAUAAAAUUCCUUCAGAUGGACAGUAUUGUGAACUAAAUGUCAUCACCACGUGUUCAACAACAACAGCAACAACAACACAAAACAGGUCAUUAUCAUUCAUUAUGGAAAUUGACUUUGACGACUCAUACAACGACGAAAAUAACUCUGUUAACCAGAGGUGGUCACAGUCUAUUAAAAAUCAAUCUAUGAUCCAUAUUCCAGGGCUAAUAUCAGCGGAAUCUUUGGUCUUCAGUGCUGGUAGCACCAUUGCUGACUUUGAAAUUACGGCAAAUAUGACAAUUCAAGAUCCAGAUGUUGAAGCACUUCGCGCAGCAAUAUUCAAUGAUCUGAGGAAUACUUUUCCUUUGAGGUUUGAGAGCAGAAGAAAUUUGAAAUUUCAACCAAGUACUGUAUUCUUCGACGACGAAUUGAAUAUAACAUGUGGCCCACCACCAAACGAACUCCAGUUUCGUAUCACCUCAACCAAAUGGUCACUUAAUGGCGUUUCAAUAAUUGAAGACAUUCGACGCAGAUUUUCACAAGCUAAUGGAGCAGAAACGCUUACGAUCACAAAUAUCACUUCUACUGACAAUGGGACGUAUGAAUGUCAACUGUUUGAUGGGAAUUCAAGUUACUGGCAGGUCUCUAAUGAAACAUUCCGUUUGGUGUUUGGUCCAGAAGGUGGAUUCACAUGUGUUGAUGAUCCAGAAUUUGGAAAUGGAUUCUUAAACGACACGGGAACAGCUUCUUGUGAAGCAGACGAAUCGGGAGUGAAGACUGCUGUUUGCAGGGAAAGUGGAGAAUGGGAAGAUCGAGAAGACAACUGCACUUCUCUUGCAGAACUCCUCACUGAGUCUGAGAAUUUGGACAAUCUGACUUUGCCACAGUUCUUGGAGGCAUUACGCAUCACUAUUCUUGAACAAAGUGACCGAGUGGAUGGAUCUGUUGAAAACAUUACCGCCACUGUUAGAAUUCUCAACAAUGUUGCCACCUUGGUAACAACUGCUGAUAUCCCGAUAAGUCGGGAAUCUAUGAAGAAUGUCCUGCUCGUUACUGAUGUCCUCAUUAGAGAUCAGGCAAGAGAAUCAUGGGACAUACUUAACUUUGAAGCAGUCCAAGCGAGUGAAGAAACAAGAAUCAUCACUCCCAGAAAUGAAAGCAUCAGCUCACUAUUUUUGUUUUCAGUUGAGGGUAUAACAAGUAGACUUAUCAAUGCCUCUCUUGUCAUUGAAACACCUUUGAUUCUCUUGAACAAAACUACGUUCACCGACAGUUUCAACGGGGAUUUUAAUUCUACAGUGGAGAUAGACAUAGACGGGUCCAAUGGAGCAACAAACCUUACCGUGGUAACCUUUGAAUCCUUGGAUAAUGCCCUUCCUCCAAGAGAUGAGAACAACGCUACAGGCAGGGUCAUCAAUGGGAGAGUUGUACUUGUUCAGUCUGACACCAUCGUCGACAAUAUCACUUUCACAUUUGACAUUGUAGAUGAUAACCUGGGAAACCCUCAGUGUGUGUUCUGGAACUUUUCCCUCUUUGACUGUCUUGGCGGAUGGGAUGGCGAAGGCUGCGAGCUCAUUGAAAGAGAGGAUGAAACUGUCACAUGUCGGUGUGACCACCUGACCUCCUUUUCGAUACUAAUGUCUCCAGUUGAUCUAAACAGCCGCGUGUUGGAUUUCAUAACCUACGUUGGUGUCGGGAUUUCUAUGGCAUCCUUAGUUGUAUGCCUCUUUAUUGAGGCGUUUAUAUGGAAAAAAGUUCGAAAGAGCAGCACAUCACACUUGCGCCAUGUUUCCAUUGUUAACAUUGCAUUGUCUCUCCUGAUUGCAAACAUUUGGUUCAUUAUUGGUGCAAAUAUCUCUGAAGGAGAUAAAAAGAAUCCGGAUGCAUGCACUGCUGCUACUUUUUUCAUCCAUUUCUUUUACUUGGCCCUCUUUUUCUGGAUGUUGGCCUCUGCCCUGUUGCUAUUGUACCGCUCAGUCAGAGUCCUUGGUGGAGGACUUUCGAGAAAUACUAUGUUGGCUAUUGGAUACUCUCUUGGUUAUGGCGCCCCACUGAUUAUCACCGUCAUUACUAUCGCUGUAACUGCACCGAGCAAUGCUUACAUACGAGAAAAUGUGAUCUGCUGGCUCAAUUGGAAUCAGUCGAAAGCACUGCUGGCAUUUGUGAUCCCGGCACUCAUCAUUGUGUUCAUAAACAUUCUAAUCCUAAUUGUAGUGAUAGUCAAAAUAUUGCAGAGUCGAGGGAUGUCAAACACUCAACCAGAAGAGGAGAAGUAUGUCCUGGUGGUCAUUUUUCGGAGUAUAGCCAUUUUAACACCCUUUUUUGGAUUAACUUGGAGUCUUGGAGUUGGAAUCUUAAUUGACCCAAGUAAUCUCGGAAUCCACAUUGCCUUCGCCUUCUUCAAUUCCCUGCAGGGUUUCUUCAUAUUGGUUUUUGGAACCCUCCUAGACAGAAAGGUUCGGUCAGAAAUUUCCACGUUCAGACUCUCUAAGUCCCAAAGUUCUGGCAGUGGGACAAGGACCACGAGUGCUUCAUCAAGUGGAUGGCAGAUUUGGAGGAACAUUGGAAGAAGAGGUGGUAACGGUUUAUCGGAGUCGUCAUCGUAUUCGGCGAUCAACACUUGAUAUCCGCUGCCAACAUCUUUGCUCAGGCUGACCGAGCAACAAACUGUUCUCAAUAGCGUGUGAAUGCUGAGCGAUAAGCUAUCACAUUAUUGCUUAAGUACUUUAAUAUUACUUUCUUGUUGUUGACCUUACUAGAAUUUAUUCAUUCCAAAAUCUCUUCUUUAUACAUUUCUGAUAUACACAUACAUUUAGUAUUGUAGUGAAAAAGUUAAUUUUGCAAAGGGUUGUUUGUUCUGUCUGGCUUGUCCAGGCAAAUUUCUGAUUUUCCUUCACAGGUCAGUGAAUUUCGUUUUUUCUUGCAGGUGCAUUGCAAUGACAAAUGGUUUUGAAUUGUUAGUCAAAGUUAUUCUUGGUAUGCUAGUAGAUAUCACAGCAUGCCGGAGAUAGCAAUACACUUUGGGACAUCAGAGAAAUUAUUAUUAAAUAUUGUUUUCAUGUGCAGUUAUAUCAUUAAAAAAUGAUAAACUUGCACUAGCCCAUCACAAGACAUUUGAAGCACUUUACAAAUAUAUUUGUGUUGAAUUAGUAUAGUUAGUGUAAUUAGUAUUUAUGCUUUCUCCAAUAAUCAAAUGUAGGAAAAUAGCUACCUAUUUACGUUCACAUAGGUUCAGAUUUACAGAAAUUGGUCGUUUCAUAGUUACCAGAGUAUUGAUACUAAAAGGUAAAACCAAGUAUUUUACUCCUCACCGACUUUGAUUUGUCUCAAAAUUAAAAUGUAUGAUGUUCU
This is an RNA transcript of Syngnathus acus (greater pipefish), 18258 nucleotides long. RefSeq lists it as uncharacterized. Lineage: Eukaryota; Metazoa; Chordata; Actinopteri; Syngnathiformes; Syngnathidae. The transcript is spliced from 146 exons. The record is from RefSeq and is a predicted model, not a curated record.